Armigeres subalbatus is the source of this 746-nucleotide long non-coding RNA. RefSeq lists it as uncharacterized. NCBI's taxonomy places the organism in Eukaryota, Metazoa, Arthropoda, Insecta, Diptera, Culicidae. The record is from RefSeq and is a predicted model, not a curated record. The transcript has 3 exons.
AGCGUGUGUGCUCAGCGGUUCACACAUACUACCAAGCAAAUGAAGCGGUGCAACUGUCAAAUUAUGCGCGCUUUUUUCGUCACCCUCGCGGCUUCGCCAUGUUUUUUCACCAGUCCAGUUGACUGCCCUUUGGUUUGGUACUGACAAAAAUUCAUCGUUAAACAACUUCCCCCCAUAAGCCAUCGGUAUCAAGCAGCCCUGACCGUUCUGACCGAGUCGUACUCCUGAUUCGCCUGAUUCGGAGUUUCGGCGCCGGUUGGCUGGUGGUUCGCCUUUUCCGGAACGAUGACGCGGUUUCGGGUUUACGACGCCAGGAAUAUUCUCAGGACAGCAAUGUUCAUGGUAAAGAUAAUUUCGAGGCGAGAUGGACAUUGAUGGGCCGUCUGGCAACUGAUAUCACAAAGGAAAAAAAGAUUAUUUCGAGUGAGAAUUUUAUGCAUGACGUUUCUAUCUGCCUUUUUUUAUUUCCGAAGACACCAGCUGCCGGUUAAAAUCAUUGCGGGAUCUAACCAAAACUACAUCCGGGUCAGAUCCCAAUUUAAAAUCAUCCAUCAUAUGCUUCACACUCGAGAGAUGUUCGAAACGAUGUCACCGGAUUCAUCGACGAGAACUUUCGACCCGAUUUGGCCAAUAUAAUAUAACGAAACACUCGUUGACCAGCGGGAGGAUUACGCAGCAGAUUUUCAGGGCUAUGGAGUCACCACAUCGCAAGGUGUUCCGCAUGCUGCCACGAUUCCGGUGACAGA